Molecule: ribosomal RNA, 292 nt
Filed under: uncultured bacterium
Lineage: Bacteria
Description: partial 16S ribosomal RNA
Rfam family: Bacterial small subunit ribosomal RNA
Source: RNAcentral
GUGCCAGCCGCCGCGGUAAGACGAACCGUGCAAACGUUGUUCGGAAUCACUGGGCUUAAAGGGCGCGUAGGCGGCUCAGCAAGUCGGGGGUGAAAUCUUUCGGCUCAACCGGAAAAGUGCCUUCGAUACUGCGGAGCUCGAGGAAGAUAGGGGCCACGGGAACGACCAGUGGAGCGGUGAAAUGCGUUGAGAUUGGUAGGAACGCCGGUGGCGAAAGCGCGUGGCUGGAUCUUCCCUGACGCUGAGGCGCGAAAGCUAGGGGAGCAAACGGGAUUAGAUACCCCGGUAGUCC